GGCGUGGCCAAGUGGUAAGGCGCCAGGUUGUGGCCCUGGAGAUCGUGGGUUCAAGUCCCAUCG
Molecule: transfer RNA, 63 nt
Filed under: marine eukaryotic metagenome
Rfam family: tRNA
About the family: Transfer RNA (tRNA) molecules are approximately 80 nucleotides in length. Their secondary structure includes four short double-helical elements and three loops (D, anti-codon, and T loops).
Source: RNAcentral